This 478-nucleotide ribosomal RNA is filed under the name Clostridium perfringens. RNAcentral describes it as "bacterial LSU rRNA". It matches the Rfam family "Bacterial large subunit ribosomal RNA", at positions 1809 to 2288 of the family's 2925-position model. The record is from RNAcentral. Lineage: Bacteria; Bacillati; Bacillota; Clostridia; Eubacteriales; Clostridiaceae.
AAAAACACAGGUCUCUGCUAAAGCGUAAUGAUGUAUAGGGGCUGACGCCUGCCCGGUGCUGGAAGGUUAAGGGGAACACUUAGCGCAAGAAGGUGUGAACUUAAGCCCCAGUAAACGGCGGCCGUAACUAUAACGGUCCUAAGGUAGCGAAAUUCCUUGUCAGGUAAGUCCUGACCCGCACGAAUGGCGUAAUGACUUGGGCACUGUCUCAACUGUAAAUCCGGCGAAGUUGUAGUGCGAGUAAAGAUGCUCGCUACCCGCAAUUGGCCGGAAAGACCCCGUAGAGCUUUACUGUAGCUUAGCAUUGAGUUUUGGUAUUGUCUGUACAGGAUAGGUGGGAGACUAGGAAACCAGGGCGUCACUUUGGGUGGAGUCAACCUUGGGAUACCACCCUGACAGUACUGAAAUUCUAACUGGCGGCCAUGAAUCUGGGUCACAGGACAUUUGUUAGGUGGGCAGUUUACUUGGGCGGUCGCCU